AUGUCUGCUGUGGACAGACCAGGAGCCACGCAGCCUCGGUGGGACAGACCUUCCAGGAAUCCUCUGGGACUCGUGGCUGGAAGCAGGCGUCCCCUCAGCACAUGCACCUGGCUCCCUGACGGCCCCCGCUCCGCUCAGCGCACGCACAGGAGUCCCGUUUAUGUGUCCUUUGUCAGCAAGGCCAUCCUGUGGGACAGAGGACUCUGUCACUACCCUGCUCACGUUCAUCCCACCGAUCGCACCUCACUGUGUCCACGCUUCUUAUCCCACAUGAAGGCUUGUCCAGGAGACUUCAGGCCUCCUUGUUUCCUCAGCUCCACGUUAAGGCCACAGCCUCCACCUCAGGGGACGACGACACACAUCCUCCUGGCACCAAAGACCCAAACGCUGGAGGGGUGCUUCCAUUUCGAUCCAGAGAGAAGAGGUCGUGCAGUUCACAGCGCUCGCGUCAACGUAGGGCGACGCGCUGCUGUCGCUCCUCCCCGUCCUCCGCUCCCUGCGACACCGCCUCCAUCCAGCAGCAGCAGCAGCAGCAGCCCAACGCCUCCCCGCCAGCGCAGCCUCCGCGCCCACUCUGGGCGACAGCAGAGCGGGUCCAGCACGGCGCCACCGUCCCCUCCUGGGCCUCGUCUCCCUUCAGAGGAUAAACACGAGUCACCGGAGAAGGAGCGAGCGCCUCAGCCAGCGGUGGUGUCCAUCGCAGAGUCCGCAGAGCGGGACGGGCCGCUGAACCUUGGGCCGGCUGGACCCGUGCGCUCAGAGACACCGGCCUCUGCUGUGUCACACGGCUCCCUCUCAGACUGGAGUCGCCCUCCCUCCAGCCUUUUCAGUCGGAGCACUGACCUCUCCAGUGGCAGGAGCAGUGUCCUGUCGGCAGGUGUGACGGACACAGACCCUGAAGGCAGCGUUUGCCUCUCUCCCCUCCACCUGUCGUCAGUGAUGGAGCUACCUCUGUCUGCCUCUCCAGCUGGACCCACCCCUCACGGGUCCACAACAAGCACCACCACCCAUCCACCCUAUGAGCCGGACUCACGUCAAACCAAGGCCUUCUCGCCUCGCCCAACUUCAAGCAUCCAGUCACAUUCACAUAAACCCCUGAGCAGCAGCAGAAGCUCAAAACCAGCAGAGAAGCUCCCCCACGAUGCGUCCACAGAUCCCGCUCUCAACCUGUCUCUGCCCUCUGACCAUGGCCUUGUCACACUGACUUUCACCCCCACCACCUGGUCGUCCUGCCCAAGUCCACAAAGGAGCACUCCCCCUUCCCCUCCCCUGAGUGGCCUGGAGUCUCAGCGUUGGCCCGUGCUGCCGCCCAUCUCUCCAGUCAGAGGACGCUGCGGCACAGCAGCAUCACGCUACUCUGAACUAAGCUGCACGCAGUCUCACGUGUUCGAUGAACUGGAGGCCAUCGCUCCCCUGUCCACUUCCUGUCUGUCGCUAGACGAGGCCUCAGACUCAUCGGGCACGUCUUCACCUGACUCAGGUCUGCCCUGA
Molecule: long non-coding RNA, 1491 nt
Filed under: Betta splendens (Siamese fighting fish)
Lineage: Eukaryota; Metazoa; Chordata; Actinopteri; Anabantiformes; Osphronemidae
Description: lncRNA (ENSBSLG00000006104.1)
Source: RNAcentral